AGCUCAGUUGGAUAGAGCAACGGACUUCUAAUCCGUAGGUCGUGGGUUCGAAUCCCUCC
RNAcentral lists this transfer RNA (59 nucleotides) under Bacteroidales bacterium. Its description in RNAcentral is "tRNA-Arg". It matches the Rfam family "tRNA", at positions 9 to 63 of the family's 71-position model. From Rfam's summary of the family: Transfer RNA (tRNA) molecules are approximately 80 nucleotides in length. Their secondary structure includes four short double-helical elements and three loops (D, anti-codon, and T loops). Further hydrogen bonds mediate the characteristic L-shaped molecular structure. tRNAs have two regions of fundamental functional importance: the anti-codon, which is responsible for specific mRNA codon recognition, and the 3' end, to which the tRNAs corresponding amino acid is attached (by aminoacyl-tRNA synthetases). tRNAs cope with the degeneracy of the genetic code in two manners: having more than one tRNA (with a specific anti-codon) for a particular amino acid; and 'wobble' base-pairing, i.e. permitting non-standard base-pairing at the 3rd anti-codon position. The record is from RNAcentral. Lineage: Bacteria; Pseudomonadati; Bacteroidota; Bacteroidia; Bacteroidales.